UUUGACCUGCCCAAAACCUACCGGAGAUAAUGCAGCGUCAGACUACCCGUGUAUCAGAGUGGCUUCUUUAAAGUCAACUGAGGUAGCAUUUGUGAAGGGAGGCGUAAUUUGCUGGGUCUCGAAAAUAAGUUUGGGCCAAAUUAUGAGACAUCACAGUAUUGAUCGCUGGCCAUUGAGGAAUCGAGGCGCUGUGGAUGUUUCUAAGUAACAUCUUAGGAACAUGAUUAGGCUUGAGUUAUAGGAGAGGGGCGCUGGCGACGUGUGAGCGAGGCGCCGUCCAGCAAAACCUUAGGGGCAGAAAUAGCGGUUAGAGAAUCCCUGCAGGAGUCGGGAGAAAGAAGCUGACUGGGGAGGGCCGGGGGCACGUGCGUAUGUGGCAGGGGACAGGUUCGCUGAACCAAAGAGGGACCGAAAGAGAAGCGGGAGCGAUUGGGAACAUUCUCAGUGACCUGUUGGAUGGGACUAGUGAGAAAAGCCGAGGAAUUGAAAUCAACUCUGAGAUGACGAGCUUGGCUGAGUGGGGGGGGAUUCACCACCAACGCAGACGGAAACACAGGAGAAAACGCGGGCGUUUAAGGGGUAAAGUGAAUAAAGGCAUGCAGGUUAUUAAAAAUAUUCACCAGAGGUCCCGUUGUGGCUCAGCGGGUUACAAACCCGACGCGUAUCCACGAGGAUGCAGGUUCGAUCCCUGGCCCUGCUCGGGGGGUUAAGGAUGCGGCGUUCCUGUGAGCUGUUGUGUAGGUCACAGACGCAGAUGCAGCUCAGAUCCUGCAUUGCCGUGGCUGUGUGUAGGCCGGCCAUGGAGCUAAUUGCAGCUCCAAUUAGAUCCCUAGCCUGGGAACUUCCAUAUGCCACAGCUACGGCCCUAAAAGAAAGCAACAGCAUUAAUUCAUUCAUUUAUUGUUUAUGAAAAACUGCCUUUGCAAAGUUACACAAGGACACUGAGUGGAGAAUCCUCUACUCUAAAGGUCCGCCCUUGUCCCACACCUAAAACAUCCCCAAGGAUUGAUUGGUCUCUUUACCGUCAACCUGCCCCCUCCCUACAGCCAGUCCUGCACUCCUUUCUUGGUGGGUAGCACAGUCAUCCCCCUGCCUCUUAGGCCGUGAAUCUUCCUUCCUCCGUGCCUCCCUGGCCCCCACAUCCUUGUGUCUCGUCAUCAAGUCUUGCCCAUUCCAGCUCAGACCUCUCUCGAGCGGACCUGGCCUCUUCGUCUCCAUGGCCUCUGCCUCACUCAAGAUUCCGGUCUUCUCACAUCUGCUUUACUGUCGAGCACCUCACCAAGUCAGUCCUCCAGGGCACUUCACCCCAGUGAACUCACACCAGUGACACAGCCGAAGGGCUCCUUGUGGGGAGUGCAAGUCCGACGUCCUGCUGUGAGGCGUAGCACUCGCAGGUUCCUGACUCACCCACGCGAAGACCUUUCCCUGCCCCGGCCUCACAGCUGCCAAACAACGUCCAGACUCUGUAAGAUGACCUAAGAAGCUUGGAUGGUGUUGUUUCUGCUCAUCCCUAGACUUUAUCUCCUUCGGUAGUGCCACCGUCUAACCCUUUAGGAAUUUCGGAUCUUUGUAACCUCUGAAUACUUCUUGCUGCUGCUUUGCAGGGGGUUUCCUCCACCUGCGUGUCCUUCCAGCCCCUGCUCCUCUGGAGUCCCCUCCCCUUUCAUACUUUCCCUGAAGCGUCUAUGCAUAAAUCACCUUCCUCUCGCCCUCUCCCCUACUUCUGUGUGAGGACAUACUUCCCCUGUCCCGCUUACAACAAUACCGUGCGUCACUUUUAAUGCCGCUGGCUCCUCGAGUCACCCACGGUCUCCCUGCAGGCAGAACAGUCCAAAUCCCACUCCACAAGCAGACUGGGCGGCUGUUUUGUUUCCGGCACCGUGAUUUUGCUCAAGAUACAGAGACGAGUAAGUUCCUCAUGUCAAGUUUCUGAAACUUGUGGACCAAAGGAUUGGAUCAUUCCAACACUGAAAAGGAGCUCAAAGCCUAAUAGGAGAGUCAAGGAAAAUAAAAUGUAAAAAGAAAAAAAUGACUUGGUACAGUCAAGAAAAUGACUUAUUACAGGUUAGAAUUUUAAUGGGUUUGGUUAAAAGCCGCUGCAAGACAUACAGACCAAGGUAGCCACAGUAUUAUCUUUAAAGCAACCCAUAGAGAUGAAAACAGAACAAAGUGAGAGUGAAUUUCCAAAUAUAAAAAUGACGGCAUUUUUCUGUUCUUCGGAAGAAGUCACUAGACCGAUGCAUUGCCACUGACUUUGUAUUCCCACCAACUGCAGUAAGUCUCAGCUCAGCUUUUGUCCGGUCAAAAUGGAGACAUGGUAUAAAAAUAAAUGUAUUUUAUGAAACAGUAGAGCAGGUAAGGUAUGCCUUUUCUCAUCAGCGCUACCUCCAGAAUCACCUAACCUGGCUUCUGACUGGUGGAAAUUUUGCUCCACGGCCGGCGUCAGCACAGGUAACCCAGCCACACACAUCCCCCCCGGGGUCUGUGCCGUCCUGUCCAGUUGCAAUUGCCGUCCGCUCCUUCUGUUUCCUAAUAUCUUCCUUAGUUCUUUUUUCCCUCCUCCAGUCAGAUUUGUUAAACAUAACAAAAUUCUCUAUACAAAGUGGCCUAAACCUUAAGACAUACUUUCUCUUUUUUUAUACUUCUUUUUAAAAAAUAAUAAUUCUUACUUCAUUUCUUUUUCUUAGUCACACCCAUGGCACAAAGUUCCCAGGCCAGGGACUGAACCUGCGCCACGGCAGCAACCCAAGCUGCUGCAGCGAAAGGGCUGGAUCUUUAACCUGCUGCUUCAUGACAGAAUUCCAAAACGAGAUACUUAACCACUAUUGCGAUAAGUUGAUCCACAGAGCAUCAAAAAGCGGCUUACUCUAAAAUCAAGAGACAAGCUCCCAGUGCACAGCACAUGAAGAGCCUAACUUCCAGGACUCUAAUAGUUCUAUACGAUAAAUAACAGGCUGCUGGGGAAAUGGGUACCAGACUUUAAGAGGCCAUUCCUGCGCCGCCACUGGGAUGCCAUCAUGUGUCUGGAUCCUGAUGUUCCCAUUAUCUGAUUCGAGGCUCUCCACAGGAAUAUUGUGGGAGCAGAGGUUAGCCUGGCUGCUUGCUGAGCUGGAAUUGCUCUCCCGGCACGUUCCUCUGACGGGGUCCCGAGGCAGCCCCGCUCCAGUCCUCGUGAGUCUGUGCGCAGGACUUCAACAGUGGGUGGAGUCUUCACUGUGUCCUCGAGGUGCUGCUCCAGGGUCACCUCCCUACCCCCAUCCUCCCAGGGCAGGAUCCUCACAGGCUCAUCCCCCUUUGUUCUUAAGUUCGAGUCCCCAGUUUAUCUUGCAGGUCACUGCACCAUCUGCCCCAGGCUAUUACCCUACCUCAAUAGGAGGCAGCGUCUUUCCAGUCUAAAACACUCCAAACACUUUCCCUGCCCAGGGCCUUUGUUAAAGGCAAGAUUAAACAAAAAGAGAGCAUAUCUAGAUCAGCAAAACUGUCUGGAAAUUAUUUGCUAUUUGAAAUUUCAAAAGCAAAAAGCACUAACAUAGUCAUGAUGGGAAAAGCUUGAGUCUGGUGGAAUUUGCAUCCACCUAUUUUGUGGUUUAGUCUUAUUUUGCUUCUUAAUUAUGUGAGUAUUACAUGUGUCUUGGUGAAGGAGAGAGCAAUGGCCUUCUCAGAACUGCAGUCUUCUGUAGGUCUUCAUUCAAUUCUGCCUUCAUUGUCUGAGUGAAGGCACCUCUUGACCUUCCACCUAUGGGUCCUGCUUCUCCUUAGUCUUGCUAGAAGCCUUCUCGACCCCCUCUGCAUCACUCCUUCCUGUUAGAAUCCCACUUGCGUCUCCAUUCCUCAGUCCUGUGGCCCCAGCUGGAGGCUGCCAUCCCCCUUAACCUAGGCGACAACGGCAACUUCAUAAUUGCUCUCACCAUUCCUCCUUCUAAUCCUUUCAAUCCAGUGUCCACAUGACAGCAAACCAUUUUUAGAAUGGGUCCUAUCACUAUCUGCUUAAGACCUUUCGGUAGCUUCUCAUUUCAUUAGAAUAAAAUCCACACUUCUCCUGCUGCCCCGUGAAAGCCCCAUCAUCUGGCUCCUGCCUCUCCAACAGCACUGUUCACUGGAUUUCCAUUAAGAUUUUUUUUUUCUUUUUAGGGCCACGCCUGUGGCAUAUGGAAGUUCCCAGGCUAGGGAUCAAGUCUGAGUUGUAGCUGCUGGCCUCUGCCACACCCACAGCAAUGAGGGAUCUGAGCUGUAUGUGCGUCUGACCCACACCACAGCUCAUGGCAACACUGGAUCCUUAACUCACUGAGCAGGGGCAGGGAUGGAACCUGCAUCCUCAUGGUACUGGUCAGGUUUGUAAUCCACUGAACCACAGCAGGAACUCUCAUAAAUAUUUUUAACAAGUGUCGUGUGUUUAUGCCUGUAUAGCAUUCUCUAUAUUGCAUUGUUACGCACUUUACCCCUUAGAAAGUCUGCUUCUUCUCCUGUGCCUCCCACCUCAACGAACGGCGACAUCCUCCCCACUUAGCCGAGCUCAUCGCCGCAGAGCUGAUCUCAGUUCUUCUGUCUUUCCUACUGGCCACAUCCUCCAUUAAGGGUCUCGCUCCAUCCCGUCACAAUCUCUUACCCUCAGGGUUUUGCACUUCCUGUUUCCUCUGCCUGGAAAUUUUCUGCCUCUUCCUAAAAUGGCAGCUUCUUUCGUCUUUAGAGCUCAGCUUAAAUAUCACUCUUUGGCCCAAAGUGCAUCCGUCUGGGCGAGGAAAGAAGGGAAUGGGGCACCACUGUCCAGUUUUCCCAGCACCACUUGUUGAAAGACUGUCUUGAGAGAGACAAAAGAUGGCGGUGUGGAAGGACUCAAGCUCACCUCCUCUCAUGAGAAAACCAAUGUUACAACUAACUGCUGAACAGCCUUCAACAAAACAGACCGGAAGCUUCCAAAAAAGGUCUUCUAUACCCAAAGACAAAGAGGAAGUCACAUCAAGACGGUAGGAGGGUGCUGUCAUGAUGUGAGCAAUCCCGCAACUGCCGGGUGGGUGACCCACAGCCUGGAAAACAACUGUAAGCAGAGGUUCUUCCACAAGAGUGAGAGUUAGGACCUCAACAGCAGCUUCCCAUGCCUGGGGGUCUGGCAUUGACAGGAGGAGCCCCCAAGCAUUUGUCAUUGAAGGCCAGCAAGGCUUGAGCACAUGAGCUCCACAGGACUGGAGGAAACAGACUCUGCUGUUGGAGGGUACACACAGGGUUUCUGGUGCACUGGGUCCCAGGGCAAAGCAGAGACUCCGUAAGAAUCUGGAUCAGGCCCAUCUAUGGGCUUUGGAGGGUCUCCUGUGUGAGCUCCUCCAGAGGCUGCCAUUUUGGAAAAAUCUGGCCCCACUAAUCAGGGCAAGCAGCAAACAGGGUGGGUACGCAGCUCCACACAUCAGCAAACAGGCUGCCUAAAGUCCUCCCAGGUAUACAGCUGCCUCAAAUCGUACUCAGAGACAAAGCCCCCCCCCACCAGAGGGUCUCAGCUCCACAUCCAGUGGGUAGGCACCAAUCCCUUCCAUCAGGAAGCCUGCCGCAAGCCCCUGUAGCAACUUCAUCCACAAGGGGGCAGACACCGGAAGAUACAACCCUGGUAGCCUGCAAAAAGGAGACCACACACAAAGCUCUACAAAAUGAAAAGUCAGAGAAAUAUGAGCCAGGUGAAGGAAAAAGACAAAGCCCCAGAAGAACAGCUAAGUGAAGUGGAGAUAAGAAACCUACCUGAAAAAGACUAGAGUAAUGCCAGUCAGGAAUGACCCGUGAUCUCAAAGAUAAACCAGAAGCAAAUAGCAAUAAGUUAAAAGAAACAUUUAAAAAAGGCUUAGACGAUUUAAAAAUUGAACAAACAGAGAUGAUCAACACAAUAACCGAGAUAAAUUCACUGGCAGGAAGCGGUAGCACAAUACAGGAGGCAGAGAGCCAAACGGUGAAGUAGAAGACGGACUGGUGGAGAUCACUGAUGUGGAACAGAAAAAGAACAAAGAAUGAAAAGAAUUGAGGACAGUUUAAGAGAACUCUGGGACAACUUUAAACACACCAACAUUCACAUUAUAGGGAUGCCAGAAGGAGAAGAGAGAAGGGGCUGGAGAAAACAUUUGAAGAAAUAAUGACUGCAAAUUUCCCUAACAUGGGGAAGGAAUCACUCACUUAAAUUCACGAAGCACAACAAGUAUCAUAUAAAAUAAACCCAAGGAGGAACACCCCAAGACACAUAUCAAUCAAAAUUAAAGACAGGGAGUUCCCAUUGUGGCACAGCAGAAACAAAUCCGACUAGGACCAUGAGGUUGCAGGUUCAAUCCCUGGCCUCACUCAGUGGGUUAAGGAUCCGGCAUUGCCAUGAGCUGUGGUGUAGGUUGGAUCUGGCGUUGUUGUGGUUGUGGCAUAGGCCAGCAGCUGCAGCUCCAAUUAGACUCCUAGUCUGGGAACCUCCAUAUGCCACGGGUACAGCCCUAAAUGGACAAAAGACAAAAUAAAUAAAUAAAUAAAUAAAAUAAAAAAUAAAUAAAAGCGAAAAUAUUGAAAGCAGCUAGGAAAAAGCAACAAAUAACAUACAAGGGAACCCCAAUAAGGUUAUCAGCUGAUUUUUCAGUAGAAACUCUGCAGGCCAGAUAUACUUAAAGUGAUGAAAGGAAAAAAAUCUGCAACCAAUAAUACUUCACCCAGCAAGGCUCUCCUUCAAACCUUGCUGGGUAAGUAGAAAUAGAAUGGUAGAAAUAGAAAUUAUACUAUUAUACUAAUGUAUUAUAUUAGAAUAGUAGAAUUUCUAUUUUCUACUAAUAGGAAAUAGUCUCUUUCAGGUUGAAGGAGAAAUCAAAAGCUUUACAGACAAACAAAAGCUAAGAGAAUUCAGCGCCACCAAACCAGCUUUACAACAAAUGCUAAAGGAAUUCCUCUAGGCAGAAAAGAAAAGGCCACAGCUAGAAACAGGAAAAUUACAAAUGAGAAGGUGCAUCAGUAAAGGCAAACAUAUGGUAAAGGUAGGAGAUCAUCCCCACACAAACAUGCUACCAAAAGUAGCAAUCAUGAGAGGAGGGUACAAAUGCAGGAUCCCGGAAAUGCAUUUGCAUUUAAGAGACCAGCAACUUAAACCGAUCUUGUAUACACAGACUCCUAUACCAAAAUCUCAUAGUAAUAGUAACCGCAAACCAAAAAUCUGCAAUAGAUACACGCACAAAUAAGAAAAAGCAGUCCAAAAACAACACUAAAGAUAGUCAUCAAACCACAAGAGAAGAAAUAAAAGAAGGGAAGAAAAAAGACCAACAAAAACAAAUCCAGAACAGUUAACAAAAUGGCAGUAAGAACAUAGAUAUCAAUAAUUACCUUAAAUGUGUAUGGACUAAAUAUUCCAAACAAAAGACAGACUGGCUGAAUGGUUACAAAAACAAGACACAUAGAUAUGCUAUAUAAAGAAGAUGUAGUACCUAUAUACAAUGGAAUAUUACUCAGCCAUAAACAGGAAUAAAAUAAUGCCAUGUGCAGCAACAUGAAUGGACCUAGCAAUUAUCACACUAAGUAAAGUUAAGCAGUGAAAAACAAAUGUCAUAUGAUAUCACUUAUAUAUGAAAUCUAAAAAAAAGAUACAAAUGAACUUAUUGCAGAACAGAAACAGACCCACAGACUUUGAAAACAAACCUAUGGUUACCAGAGGGAAUAGGUGGGGUGGGGGUGAGGGGACUGGGGGUUUGAGAUUGCCAUAAGCCUCCUGAAGUACAUGGGAUGACUGGCCAACAGCUACCUGCCCUAUAGCACAGGAAACUCUACCAAUAUUCUGUGAUAAUGUAUAUGAGAAAAAAAUAUGAAAAAGAAUGGAUAUGUGCACAUGUGUAACUGAAUCCCUUUGUUGUACAGCGGAAGUUAUUGCAACAUUGUAAAUAGCCUAUACUUCAAUAAAACUUUUAAAAACAAGGGGAAAAAAAGAAAAAAAAAUCCCCUUCUCAGGAGUUCCCAUUGUGGCAUAGCAGUAAUGAACCCAACUAGUAUCCAUGAGGAUGAGAGUUUCAUCCCUGGCCCUGCUCAGUGGGUUAAGGAUCUGGUGUUGCCACGAGCUGUGGUGUAGCUCACAGAUGCGGCUCAAAUCUGGAGUGGCUGUGGCGUAGGCUGGGAGCUACAGUUCUGAUCUGACCUCUAGCCUGGGAACUUCCAUGAGCCACACUUGCAGCCCUAAAAAAGAAAAGAAAAAAAAAAA
This 8188-nucleotide long non-coding RNA is filed under the name Sus scrofa (pig). RNAcentral describes it as "lncRNA (ENSSSCG00005036270.1)". The record is from RNAcentral. Lineage: Eukaryota; Metazoa; Chordata; Mammalia; Artiodactyla; Suidae.